Molecule: transfer RNA, 75 nt
Filed under: Candidatus Bathyarchaeota archaeon
Lineage: Archaea; Thermoproteati; Candidatus Bathyarchaeota
Also listed under: 1 other name
Description: tRNA-Ile
Rfam family: tRNA
About the family: Transfer RNA (tRNA) molecules are approximately 80 nucleotides in length. Their secondary structure includes four short double-helical elements and three loops (D, anti-codon, and T loops). Further hydrogen bonds mediate the characteristic L-shaped molecular structure. tRNAs have two regions of fundamental functional importance: the anti-codon, which is responsible for specific mRNA codon recognition, and the 3' end, to which the tRNAs corresponding amino acid is attached (by aminoacyl-tRNA synthetases). tRNAs cope with the degeneracy of the genetic code in two manners: having more than one tRNA (with a specific anti-codon) for a particular amino acid; and 'wobble' base-pairing, i.e. permitting non-standard base-pairing at the 3rd anti-codon position.
Source: RNAcentral
GGGCCAGUGGCUCAGCUUGGUUAGAGCAUCCGGCUGAUAACCGGAAGGUCAGGAGUUCGAAUCUCCUCUGGCCCA